UUUGCGUUACGAGUACUUAAGUUAUGAGCAUGCUCAAAGAAUACAUUAAACUCACUUUGAAGGCCCCAUUGUAACAUGGCACACUUAUUCAAAAGUUGAGAAGGUUACCGACAUCAUCAUGACGCUGAAUUACAUAAAUGUAGUCCCUUUUGUCCCAUUAAAGAUUUUCACAUGUGGCCAAGGCAACCAGCUUCACCUGUAGGAUUGUUGCCAGGGAAACACCGGCAGGAAGGGCAACAUGAAUACAAAGAGGAAGGGAAGGUACAAAUCUAAACAGAGCACAGUGGGAGAGUAUUACAGUGGACAAAAGAGUGGGCUCCAUCCAUUUUUCAAAUAGUGGACCUCCCACAUACAAUAUCUGCUGUUUGACAUUCACAAAUUCAUCUGUUCUCAGAUUUUUAUUUAUUUUUUGCUCACGAAAUAUCAUGCCCACUGUAUUCAAUAUUCUGAAAUAUGGAAACUAAAAGUCUGAAUUUGAGAGGUAGGAGGAAAUUCUGUGUAUUGUAUACACGGUGCUCAUUUUAUUCUAGUGUAAGCAUG
Molecule: long non-coding RNA, 540 nt
Organism: Syngnathus acus (greater pipefish)
Lineage: Eukaryota; Metazoa; Chordata; Actinopteri; Syngnathiformes; Syngnathidae
Exons: 2
Source: RefSeq, a predicted model, not a curated record